This is a long non-coding RNA of Salvelinus sp. IW2-2015, 2049 nucleotides long. RefSeq lists it as uncharacterized. The record is from RefSeq and is a predicted model, not a curated record. NCBI's taxonomy places the organism in Eukaryota, Metazoa, Chordata, Actinopteri, Salmoniformes, Salmonidae.
UCUGCAGAGGCCGUAUCACUGUCAAUGCUGCACGGCCAAUGCAGAAGUCGGAUUGACCAGGCAGGGCCUUUAAAGACGGGGCAUUCAGAUCAAAAAGAUGAGACGUGCAGUUGAGACCGUUUCCACGGUUAUGGUGCCUCUUUAAAAUGACGUGAUGAAACAAAGUUGCCACUUGCUGUAGUCAAGUGUUAUAGCAAACGAGUGUCCUGAAAUAAAUGCAACAGAAACUGGGCACACUUUGUGACUUCUCAUAUAAAUAUAAGCAAGCUAGGCUAGCUGUGUGCAGCAAAAUAGUUAGCUAGCUGCUUGGCUAAAACAGAAUGUCAGCGCAUUGUUCUCUGAUUGGCUAAACAGUUCUGUCUCGUUGCACGUCUUUAGCUAAAAACAUGUUGAAUCUUGGAAACUCCAGCACCCAACGUGAGAUGUUCUAAAACUAAAACCAAACUGCUCUAAAACUGUUCUAAAACCGUUCAAAUCAAACAAACAUUGUUGUAAAACUCCUUAAAGGGAUAUUUCACUGCUGCUCUAUUUCGCUGGAUAUGUUCAUUCAUAUGUUCUUAAAAUAUGCUGUGUCAUAAAACUAGAGAAUUUCUUCACUACACGCAYAUAGAAGCGUUUCUGCAUCACAGCGGUAGAAACGGGCCAUCUACAUUGCCUGGUUUUAAGCAAACCACAAUAUCCUAAAUUCAUAGCGAUUUCAGGACAUAGUACCGCCCCGGUGAAGGUGGAUCCAGUUGAUGUGGAGAAAUAUCAAAAUGUCUGUAUUUGUAGCCAGCACUUUCAGCAAGAGGAUUUUCGAAACGGAACUGUAAUCUCAAUUGAUGGGGUUGCCAGGUCGAACGUUGUAAAGUGAUGCUAUUCCAUCAAUUUUCCUAUUCACUUCAAAGAGGAGGGAUCUGAUCAGCCAACAGAAAAUAAGUAUAGCUGAGACUAACCCUGCUGCUGAUGACGACCUUGACACCAGCUUCAGUAGUACAGAGCCUGUAGACCCAUUGGAUGAAAGCCUUCAGCCGAGAACAAGCUCAAGCUCAACAUCAUCUGACUCGGAAACAAUCCAGCACAGCCAAAGACUUGCAGUACAAACAAAUGUUCUGCAAGAGCUCGAAGCAGUUGGUGGUGAAAAAGUGUACGAGCCCAGAACCCACCACUUCAGCGAGAGUCUUGUCCACCUAGCUGUGGAGUGCAGAAAGGACCAGAUGGUUGCCUACAAGGAGCCAGAGUCACAGCUCCCUAAACCUAAAAUCCUUGCCAACAUCGCCAUUGCGCCAAAGUCUUCUAAACCAGCUGCUAUUAACCAACAUAAGACAAGGUUCACAGGCUGAACCAUUCUGAAACCUGCUUUGAACAAACAACUAACACAACAUCCAUAUACAGUUAGACUUACUGUAUGUUGUAGUACAAUAUAGAAUGCCUAGUAUGCCUAGUAUUCACAACUGCAUUGUGGUAUAGAUAUUGCUAACUCUUGUACAUAUGUAUAAUGGUGUUUUAUAUAAUCAAUUUUUUAUGUUUACUGACAAGUGACUAAAUUAUACCAGCUGCAUCAGAAACCAGUAAAGAGUUGAUUUCAACGUCUGGAUCAAUUUAUUGCGAUAUUCACAAAAUGUAUUUGGAUAAACUAGCUACAAUCUUACUGCUAAAACAAAUGUUGCAGGGUAUCACUUAAACUUUCAUUUGUUGGUAAGUAAACUUGUUUCAAUAAAACAGUUGAUUAGUCUGUCGAUAUAGCAAAGAAGUAGACAUGGCUUGUAUUCAAGACAAAGUAUUUGCUCUGGAGACUGAGGUGAGUUUACACAGUAGUAUGCAGGAACAGUUACGGCAAUGUAUGACAUAUAUACAGUAGCGGAAAAAUAUACUACUAACGCCUAUAAUAAAUACUACAGUUCUGCAAAGGGAAUACUGAUAUUUGGUGUUUUUUAGUGGUGCAGUGAGUCAUUUUUAUUGCGGUUAUUGGACCUUUCACAUCUUCCCCUGAGUCAUCAACUUCUUUGUAUCCAAGUACUGUACUGUACUGUCUGAGAGAAAGACUGGUACCAAUUAUAUGCAUAUCCU